AUACGGAGGGUGCAAGCGUUACUCGGAAUCACUGGGCGUAAAGCGCGCGCAGGCGGUCUUUUAAGUUGGAUGUGAAAGCCUACAGCUCAACUGUAGAACUGCAUCCAAAACUAUUAGACUAGAGUCUGGGAGGGGAAGAUGGAAUUAGUUGUGUAGGGGUAAAAUCCGUAGAGAUAACUAGGAAUACCAAAAGCGAAGGCGAUCUUCUGGAACAGUACUGACGCUGAGGCGCGAAAGCGUGGGGAGCGAACAGGAUUAGAAACCCUAGUAGUCC
RNAcentral lists this ribosomal RNA (274 nucleotides) under uncultured bacterium. RNAcentral describes it as "partial 16S ribosomal RNA". It matches the Rfam family "Bacterial small subunit ribosomal RNA", at positions 523 to 796 of the family's 1533-position model. The record is from RNAcentral.